RNAcentral lists this transfer RNA (88 nucleotides) under Planctomycetia bacterium. Its description in RNAcentral is "tRNA-Leu". It matches the Rfam family "tRNA". From Rfam's summary of the family: Transfer RNA (tRNA) molecules are approximately 80 nucleotides in length. Their secondary structure includes four short double-helical elements and three loops (D, anti-codon, and T loops). Lineage: Bacteria; Pseudomonadati; Planctomycetota; Planctomycetia. The record is from RNAcentral.
UGGCCGAGUGGCGAAAUUGGCAGACGCACAGGACUUAAAAUCCUGGGUUCCGAAAGGAGCGUGCGGGUUCGAUCCCCGCCUCGGCUAU